UACGAAGGGGGCUAGCGUUGCUCGGAAUCACUGGGCGUAAAGCGCACGUAGGCGGCUUUCUAAGUCAGGGGUGAAAUCCUGGAGCUCAACUCCAGAACUGCCUUUGAUACUGGAGAGCUUGAGUCCGGGAGAGGUGAGUGGAACUCCGAGUGUAGAGGUGAAAUUCGUAGAUAUUCGGAAGAACACCAGUGGCGAAGGCGACUCACUGGACACGUAUUGACGCUGAGGUGCGAAAGCGUGGGGAGCAA
This 248-nucleotide ribosomal RNA is filed under the name uncultured bacterium. RNAcentral's name for it is "partial 16S ribosomal RNA". It matches the Rfam family "Bacterial small subunit ribosomal RNA", at positions 524 to 771 of the family's 1533-position model. The record is from RNAcentral.